RNAcentral lists this ribosomal RNA (233 nucleotides) under uncultured bacterium. RNAcentral describes it as "partial 16S ribosomal RNA". It matches the Rfam family "Bacterial small subunit ribosomal RNA", at positions 524 to 753 of the family's 1533-position model. The record is from RNAcentral.
UACGUAGGGUGCAAGCGUUAAUCGGAAUUACUGGGCGUAAAGCGUGCGCAGGCGGUUUGUGCAAGACAGAUGUGAAAUCCCCGGGCUUAACCUGGGAAUUGCAUUUGUGACUGCACGGGCUAGAGUGUGUCAGAGGGGGGUAGAAUUCCACGUGUAGCAGUGAAAUGCGUAGAUAUCAGGAGGAAUACCGAUGGCGAAGGCAGGUCUCUGGGCUGACACUGACGCUCGAUGCA